GAUGAAGAACGUAGCGAAAUGCGAUACUUGGUGUGAAUUGCAGAUUCCCGUGAACCAUCGAGUCUUUGAACGCAAGUUGCGCCCGAAGCCAUUAGGCCGAGGGCACGCCUGCCUGGGCGUCACACGUCGUUGCCCCCCCAUCUACUCCUUCGGGAUUGCGGGGGGCGGAUGAUGGCCUCCCGUGCGCCUCGCCGCGCGGUUGGCAUAAAUGCCAAGUCCUCGGCGACGCACGCCACGACAAUCGGUGGUUGCGAAACCUCGGUUGCCCGUCGUGUGCGGUCGUCGCGCAUCGAGGGCUCGAAAAAAUUGCCGGGUUCCGGCUCGGCUUUCAACGCGACCCCAGGUCAGGCGGGGUUACCCGCUGAAUUUAAGCAUAUCAAUAAGCGGAGGA
Molecule: unclassified non-coding RNA, 391 nt
Filed under: soil metagenome
Description: partial contains 5.8S ribosomal RNA, internal transcribed spacer 2, and large subunit ribosomal RNA
Rfam family: 5.8S ribosomal RNA (bases 1-122)
Source: RNAcentral